CCUACGGGGGGCAGCAGUAGGGAAUAUUGCUCAAUGGGGGAAACCCUGAAGCAGCAACGCCGCGUGGAGGAUGAAGGUUUUCGGAUUGUAAACUCCUUUUGUUAGAGAAGAUAAUGACGGUAUCUAACGAAUAAGCACCGGCUAACUCCGUGCCAGCAACCGCGGUAAUACGGGGGGUGCAAGCGUUACUCGGAAUCACUGGGCGUAAAGAGCGCGUAGGCGGGAUAGCAAGUCAGAUGUGAAAUCCUAGGGCUUAACCAUAGAACUGCAUUUGAAACUGUUAUUCUAGAGUAUGGGAGAGGUAGGUGGAAUUCUUGGUGUAGGGGUAAAAUCCGUAGAGAUCAAGAGGAAUACUCAUUGCGAAGGCGACCUGCUAGAACAUAACUGACGCUGAUGCGCGAAAGCGUGGGGAGCAAACAGGAUUAGAUACCCCUGUAGUC
RNAcentral lists this ribosomal RNA (440 nucleotides) under uncultured bacterium. Its description in RNAcentral is "partial 16S ribosomal RNA". It matches the Rfam family "Bacterial small subunit ribosomal RNA", at positions 338 to 795 of the family's 1533-position model. The record is from RNAcentral.